UGCAGUGUUGACUGUCCUGGGAUGCUGUGA
Molecule: non-coding RNA, 30 nt
Filed under: Rattus norvegicus (Norway rat)
Lineage: Eukaryota; Metazoa; Chordata; Mammalia; Rodentia; Muridae
Source: RNAcentral